Molecule: long non-coding RNA, 202 nt
Filed under: Elaeis guineensis (African oil palm)
Lineage: Eukaryota; Viridiplantae; Streptophyta; Magnoliopsida; Arecales; Arecaceae
Description: long non-coding RNA (EGUI_LNC038268)
Source: RNAcentral
UUUUUUUGAAUUAUAGAACAAGGAAGGUCUGUAAUUUUGUCCAAGCCUUCUCUUUUAGUUGAAGGAUGUGGCACAUCUGGGAUAUACAUGCAGAGAUCAGAAUAUGCAAAUUUUUAACUUUUAAAAAUUAUGAACAUAGCAAAAUUUAAACUGGACCUAAAUUUAAAAUAAUUUUAAAUCUAACAUGCAUAAAAUAUAGAUC